Molecule: long non-coding RNA, 458 nt
Filed under: Anser cygnoides (Swan goose)
Lineage: Eukaryota; Metazoa; Chordata; Aves; Anseriformes; Anatidae
Description: lncRNA (ENSACDG00005007122.1)
Source: RNAcentral
UUGAACACUUUGUCCUGAUGUCUAAGUGUAAACACAAGCCAUGCUGUGUGUACAGUAACAGCCUACAGUGCAAUCCAGUGCUUAUUUCCUAAAAGACACCCUGUUGGUACAACUUUACAGCUUUGGCCUCAUUUGACAUGGAGGGGGAUUUCCAAUAGAGAAACGAAACAAAAGAAAAUGAAGGAAUCUGAGAAAAAAAGAAAACGGAAGCUUGGAUCAUGAAGGGUAAGACUACAUUAAGUUGUGAUUGAUAGGCCCUUAAGAUCUUGAGAACAUGGAGAACAUUCUGGGCAAAGACCUUGUGGAGGAUUCUGUGAUAGUAACUGGAAACCAGCACAGCCCUCAAAAACUUUCAGCACUGAAUGAAAUACAACAACGAAAAAAAUCAAUGAGUCAAGAAAAGGUUUAUUUGCUCUCCAAGCAAUUUGGGAAGCCGGAGAAGAAUGCUGUUGGGGAGU